RNAcentral lists this ribosomal RNA (413 nucleotides) under Rhizophagus fasciculatus. Its description in RNAcentral is "partial large subunit ribosomal RNA". The record is from RNAcentral. Lineage: Eukaryota; Fungi; Glomeromycota; Glomeromycetes; Glomerales; Glomeraceae.
AGAGUUAAACAGUACGUGAAAUUGUUGAAAGGGAAACGAUUGAAGCCAGUCGUACCGACGGGAAAUCAGCCUUUUGGGUGUGAUUAUGUGGGGCGUGAGGAGUUAAUCACCCUCAUCUUUGCAUAUUCGUGCACUUUUGGGUGUACUUGCUCGUGUGGUAGGUUAACAUCAAUUUUGAUCAUCAUAAAAUGAUUGGAGGAAUGUAGCUUCGGUCUUGUAUUGAAGUGUUAUAGCCUUUGGUGGAUGUGAUGGUCGGGAUUGAGGAUUGCAACGGAUACCCUUCGGGGCUACCUGUCUGAUCUCUGAAAGUUGCUCUGGUGCUGAAAGCUUGCUUAUGGUAUCAAAGUUGACGUUCAAUAGGUUAGAAUGGGAUAAAUUCGUUAAGGAUGUUGACGUAAUGGCUUUAAACGACC